RNAcentral lists this ribosomal RNA (253 nucleotides) under uncultured bacterium. Its description in RNAcentral is "partial 16S ribosomal RNA". It matches the Rfam family "Bacterial small subunit ribosomal RNA", at positions 524 to 776 of the family's 1533-position model. The record is from RNAcentral.
UACGGAGGGUGCAAACGUUGCUCGGAAUUAUUGGGCGUAAAGCGCACGUAGGCGGUCCAGCAAGUCGGGUGUGAAAGCCCUCGGCUUAACCGAGGAAGUGCAUUCGAAACUACUGGACUUGAAUACUGGAGAGGAUCGCGGAAUUCCCGGUGUAGAGGUGAAAUUCGUAGAUAUCGGGAAGAACACCCGUGGCGAAGGCGGCUCUCUGGGACGGUACUGACGCUGAGACGCGAAAGCGUGGGGAGCGAACAGG